GAUGAACGCUGGCGGCGUGCCUAAUACAUGCAAGUCGAGCGAACAGACGAGGAGCUUGCCCCUCUGACGUUAGCGGCGGACGGGUGAGUAACACGUGGAUAACCUACCUAUAAGACUGGGAUAACUUCGGGAAACCGGAGCUAAUACCGGAUAAUAUAUUGAACCGCAUGGUUCAAUAGUGAAAGACGGUUUUGCUGUCACUUAUAGAUGGAUCCGCGCCGCAUUAGCUAGUUGGUAAGGUAACAGCUUACCAAGGCAACGAUGCGUAGCCGACCUGAGAGGGUGAUCGGCCACACUGGAACUGAGACACGGUCCAGACUCCUACGGGAGGCAGCAGUAGGGAAUCUUCCGCAAUGGGCGAAAGCCUGACGGAGCAACGCCGCGUGAGUGAUGAAGGUCUUCGGAUCGUAAAACUCUGUUAUUAGGGAAGAACAAAUGUGUAAGUAACUAUGCACGUCUUGACGGUACCUAAUCAGAAAGCCACGGCUAACUACGUG
This 497-nucleotide ribosomal RNA is filed under the name uncultured bacterium. Its description in RNAcentral is "partial 16S ribosomal RNA". It matches the Rfam family "Bacterial small subunit ribosomal RNA", at positions 28 to 507 of the family's 1533-position model. The record is from RNAcentral.